GUAGUCAUAUGCUUGUCUCAAAGAUUAAGCCAUGCAUGUCUAAGUAUAAGCAACUAUACUGUGAAACUGCGAAUGGCUCAUUAAAUCAGUUAUCGUUUAUUUGAUAGUGCCCUUACUCGGAUAACCGUGGUAAUUCUAGAGCUAAUACGUGCAUAAAUCUCCGACUUUGGAAGGAGAGUAUUUAUUAGAUAAAAAACCAAUGCCCUUUUGGGCUGCUUGGUGAUUCAUAAUAACGCAACGAAUCGCAUGGCCUUGCGCUGGCGAUGGUUCAUUCAAAUUUCUGCCCUAUCAACUUUCGAUUGUAGUUUAGUGGACUACAAUGGUUUCAACGGGUAACGGGGAAU
Molecule: ribosomal RNA, 344 nt
Filed under: uncultured fungus
Lineage: Eukaryota; Fungi
Description: SSU rRNA
Rfam family: Eukaryotic small subunit ribosomal RNA
Source: RNAcentral